CUUAUUUUUACAUACAGGUGUGAGCCAUAUUUACUUACUUAUUUUUACAUACAGGUGUGAGCCAUAUUUACUUAUUUUUACAUACAGGUGUGAGCCAUAUUUACUUACUUAUUUUUACAUACAAUACAAACACUUUAAAUAAAGUUGAAGAUCAUCUCCAUGGACCAGGUGGUCAAGCCGAACACCCAGGAUCCAGCUGUCAAGUUCAGGGUAGCCCCUGAGCUUCUCACUCUGACUCCAACAGGGUGAGCUUGCUAUCCUUGUGGCACAGGGCCUUUUGCAUUGUGGAUGAUGGAGCGGCUCGUAUAGUCCAUAAGUUUUGUGCGUAGCUGUGUACCCUGUCCCUGUGAGCUGGUUCUGCCCGGCACCUCGGUGACCUCGAGGAAAGAAGCUGAGAGACAGAGUCUUGCUUUGUCACCCAGGCUGGAGGGCAGUGGCACCAUCAUAGCUCACUGCAGACUCGAACUCCUGGGCUCAAGGGAUCCUCCUGCCUCGGCCUCCAAAAAUGCCAGAUAUACGAUAUUUCACGUGGAUGACCCGAUUGGCCUGCUGCGGGUCAGGGAAACAGGCUCCCAGGUCGCAUCCUCAGCUUGUUCUUGGCGCUGGAAAAAAGAUGCUACGCGGUUCCCUCCUUCAGCCACCAGAGGGCGCGCCCUCCCCGUUUGUCCUCUUUCGCGCACUUUUUCUCCCGCACCUGUCAGUCACAGGGCAGCCCUUUAGCGGAACAGGGAUCCUGUUCUGUGAUUUUCCUGAGGGCCUGCCUCUCCCAGGGAGUAGCGGGCUCCUACGAACAGUAAUAGCAACCAUAAUGUAGAGACCAAGAGCAGAGUUACUGAGUUUUAUGCUGAUGUCCAAAGUCACAGGGCAUUUCAUUUUUCUUCUUUUUUCCUUUCCUUUAAAAAAAUGGGCUGGGCAUGGUGGCUCACGC
RNAcentral lists this long non-coding RNA (928 nucleotides) under Homo sapiens (human). RNAcentral describes it as "HSALNT0398247". Lineage: Eukaryota; Metazoa; Chordata; Mammalia; Primates; Hominidae. The record is from RNAcentral.